RNAcentral lists this long non-coding RNA (376 nucleotides) under Linum usitatissimum (flax). RNAcentral describes it as "long non-coding RNA (LUSI_LNC006852)". The record is from RNAcentral. Lineage: Eukaryota; Viridiplantae; Streptophyta; Magnoliopsida; Malpighiales; Linaceae.
UUUGAGAUGGGAGAAUCUUUACCGACAGAUUGUUAAAUUUGAGUCCUACGGAAUAGUCCACAGAUUAUCGGUUGCGUUGUGUGUGGUCGAUUUAGAAGGAUUGCGUUCGAAUUUAGGUACACCUUUCGUAUGGACACAAAUGUUAUAUUUAUUUCUUUUCUCUUGUACUGGUAUUUAUGCCUUAUCUAUCUUCGAAAAAACAAAAACAAAAACAAAAAAUCCGAUAGAAUAAAAACGUUAGUAAAGAGAGUCGUUUAUCGAAAAAGAGAGUAGUUUAAAAUAUUGGUGGUUGCGGGAUGUCAUAGUGUAUUUACUCGGAGUUAGGAUUACUCUAUUUACCCUCUGAUAUAUGAAGUGAUAUAUAAGCAGGUGGAGC